CUGACUCAGUGGUCUGACUCCUGAAAGAAAGGAGCUAAGCGGGAUGGUUUGACUCUUGUACCAUCUGCCUUCCCAGAAACACAGUGAGCCUCCAUCUCUGCCCUGGGCAGGGUCCCUACUCAGAAGGAAUCUGGACCUGCCCCCACACAGCUCCCUUAGUAUUCCUGCCCUGCAGACCCAGUGGAAUUCUCCUGGAAGACAGGAGAAAAGGCCGGACCCUUGCUCACCCUCCACCCUGUGCCGGUGCUGCUGAUACAGAUUUCUCUAAACGGUGGAGUCCUCAACGUCCAACAGAAUCUGGCCGGACCCUGCGAGUGAGAGCCCAGAAGUAAUGCACAACUCUUGCCCGGAAGAGGAAAGGCCGGACCGCUCUUCCUCCUAGCCUAGGGUCCCGCAUCCCACAUCCUCACACAGGUUGUCAGAGGCGGGCGCCCUGGGAGGGGAGGCCCUGGGAGGGGAGGCCCCGCCCCUCAUCCCUGUCCCCCAGCACGACGGCC
RNAcentral lists this long non-coding RNA (497 nucleotides) under Fukomys damarensis (Damara mole-rat). RNAcentral's name for it is "lncRNA (ENSFDAG00000028022.1)". Lineage: Eukaryota; Metazoa; Chordata; Mammalia; Rodentia; Bathyergidae. The record is from RNAcentral.